Octopus bimaculoides (California two-spot octopus) is the source of this 269-nucleotide long non-coding RNA. NCBI's taxonomy places the organism in Eukaryota, Metazoa, Mollusca, Cephalopoda, Octopoda, Octopodidae. The record is from RefSeq and is a predicted model, not a curated record.
GACGCCUUGAUGAAUUUAAAGAAUGUGCUGAACAAGAAAAGGACGAUUCAUGCCUAAAAUUCUUCAACGAAAUCGCUAAGAUUAACUGCCUACAGGUCGACAAUUGCACAAAUUCCUACAAAACAAUUUGCCCCGAAGCUGAAAAACUCCAUCCCAUACGUAACCCAGACACGGAUUACUGCGAUCGUUUGCGCAUAUAUGAAACGUGUGCUACUACAAAGAAAGACAAAUGCAAACAGCAUUUCAACGAACUCUUUCUGGCAAUGUGU